CACGCAACAAGGGAGCCAAUUUUUCGUCAUUAUGAAUGCAUAUUGGGACAGAAUCAGGCAGUGUUCAUGCAGCUGUGUUUUUGUCACUGUAAGUAAACAAGCUGGUGGGAUCAUACAUGUGGAGGAACCACCUUAAAACUCAAAUAUAGCGUGGUGGACUGGUCUGCAAGGCAGCUCCUUCCUUCAGUGAAUGGUGUGCCAUGGCAGAUAAAUGGGAAGCACAAAAAUGGGGCCAGUGUCAAGCUCUGACAAUUAAUCUUCGCAUCUUCUCUAAGACCACAAAAUACCAUUUGCCUGCGUAGCUGGAAAGUCAUGAAUACACCCAGAGAAGAGGCAAAAGUGAGUCACCCAACAUUCUCUGCCAGAGGGGUCUUCAGUGGCCAGAGAUGGAAGUUGAAGAGAACAGGUUAAUGAAGCUAAAGGGAAGGAGGGAAGGAUUGGUCGUUCAAUCAAAUUGCAACAUAUGGAAAAUCCAACAUUUCAGUGAAUUCUAGGAG
Long non-coding RNA from Gallus gallus (chicken), 497 nucleotides. The record is from Ensembl. Lineage: Eukaryota; Metazoa; Chordata; Aves; Galliformes; Phasianidae.